GAGGACCUCCUCUCGGCCUGCACUGCCUCGUCAGUUGCUCGCACACCAACCUGAUACUUCGAAGAGCGUUCAAAGUCAUCCAAUGAUCUUGGAAGUCUCAUGAAAAUUUGCACCGACACGCGACGUUCGUUGCUGCAGCGUUCGAACGGGUUCGAGACAAAAGGGGGAUGGCUGUGUCGUCACACGUUCGACUGCAAGUUUAGUUCGUAGGUAAUUCAGCUUCGUUCGGGUAACGUGAGAAAUAACUUUGGCGUAAAUGAAAAACGGUUUGUGAUACGAAUAAUAGUACUGAUAGUCAACGCUGAUUGUGCAUCUGCAAAGGAUGGAUGUCCCAUCGAUGAAAUAUA
Long non-coding RNA from Diprion similis, 347 nucleotides. RefSeq lists it as uncharacterized. NCBI's taxonomy places the organism in Eukaryota, Metazoa, Arthropoda, Insecta, Hymenoptera, Diprionidae. The transcript is spliced from 3 exons. The record is from RefSeq and is a predicted model, not a curated record.